ACCGGCGCACGGGUGAGUAACGCGUAUCCAACCUGCCCAUCACUUGGGAAUAACCUUGCGAAAGUAAGACUAAUGCCCAAUGGUGAUGGAUGGGGAUGCGUCUGAUUAGCUUGUUGGCGGGGUAACGGCCCACCAAGGCAACGAUCAGUAGGGGUUCUGAGAGGAAGGUCCCCCACAUUGGAACUGAGACACGGUCCAAACUCCUACGGGAGGCAGCAGUGAGGAAUAUUGGUCAAUGGGCGAGAGCCUGAACCAGCCAAGUAGCGUGCAGGAAGACGGCCUAUGGGUUGUAAACUGCUUUUAUAAGGGAAUAUGUACCUUAUGAAUAAGGACCGGCUAAUUCCGUGCCAGCAGCCGCGGUAAUACGGAAGGUCCGGGCGUUAUCCGGAUUUAUUGGGUUUAAAGGGAGCGUAGGCCGGAGAUUAAGCGUGUUGUGAAAUGUAGUGGCUCAACCUCUGCACUGCAGCGCGAACUGGUCUUCUUGAGUACGCACAACGUGGGCGGAAUUCGUGGUGUAGCGGUGAAAUGCUUAGAUAUCACGAAGAACUCCGAUUGCGAAGGCAGCUCACGGGAGCGCAACUGACGCUGAAGCUCGAAA
Molecule: ribosomal RNA, 598 nt
Filed under: uncultured bacterium
Lineage: Bacteria
Description: bacterial SSU rRNA
Rfam family: Bacterial small subunit ribosomal RNA
Source: RNAcentral